This 1264-nucleotide ribosomal RNA is filed under the name Paenarthrobacter sp. RNAcentral describes it as "bacterial SSU rRNA". It matches the Rfam family "Bacterial small subunit ribosomal RNA", at positions 70 to 1347 of the family's 1533-position model. Lineage: Bacteria; Bacillati; Actinomycetota; Actinomycetes; Micrococcales; Micrococcaceae. The record is from RNAcentral.
UGAUCCCNGCUUGCUGGGGGAUUAGUGGCGAACGGGUGAGUAACACGUGAGUAACCUGCCCUUGACUCUGGGAUAAGCCUGGGAAACUGGGUCUAAUACCGGAUACGACCAUCUGGCGCAUGUCAUGGUGGUGGAAAGCUUUUGUGGUUUUGGAUGGACUCGCGGCCUAUCAGCUUGUUGGUGGGGUAAUGGCCUACCAAGGCGACGACGGGUAGCCGGCCUGAGAGGGUGACCGGCCACACUGGGACUGAGACACGGCCCAGACUCCUACGGGAGGCAGCAGUGGGGAAUAUUGCACAAUGGGCGCAAGCCUGAUGCAGCGACGCCGCGUGAGGGAUGACGGCCUUCGGGUUGUAAACCUCUUUCAGUAGGGAAGAAGCGUAAGUGACGGUACCUGCAGAAGAAGCGCCGGCUAACUACGUGCCAGCAGCCGCGGUAAUACGUAGGGCGCAAGCGUUAUCCGGAAUUAUUGGGCGUAAAGAGCUCGUAGGCGGUUUGUCGCGUCUGCUGUGAAAGACCGGGGCUCAACUCCGGUUCUGCAGUGGGUACGGGCAGACUAGAGUGCAGUAGGGGAGACUGGAAUUCCUGGUGUAGCGGUGAAAUGCGCAGAUAUCAGGAGGAACACCGAUGGCGAAGGCAGGUCUCUGGGCUGUAACUGACGCUGAGGAGCGAAAGCAUGGGGAGCGAACAGGAUUAGAUACCCUGGUAGUCCAUGCCGUAAACGUUGGGCACUAGGUGUGGGGGACAUUCCACGUUUUCCGCGCCGUAGCUAACGCAUUAAGUGCCCCGCCUGGGGAGUACGGCCGCAAGGCUAAAACUCAAAGGAAUUGACGGGGGCCCGCACAAGCGGCGGAGCAUGCGGAUUAAUUCGAUGCAACGCGAAGAACCUUACCAAGGCUUGACAUGAACCGGAAAGACCUGGAAACAGGUGCCCCGCUUGCGGUCGGUUUACAGGUGGUGCAUGGUUGUCGUCAGCUCGUGUCGUGAGAUGUUGGGUUAAGUCCCGCAACGAGCGCAACCCUCGUUCUAUGUUGCCAGCGCGUUAUGGCGGGGACUCAUAGGAGACUGCCGGGGUCAACUCGGAGGAAGGUGGGGACGACGUCAAAUCAUCAUGCCCCUUAUGUCUUGGGCUUCACGCAUGCUACAAUGGCCGGUACAAAGGGUUGCGAUACUGUGAGGUGGAGCUAAUCCCAAAAAGCCGGUCUCAGUUCGGAUUGGGGUCUGCAACUCGACCCCAUGAAGUCGGAGUCGCUAGUAAUCGCAG